GAUGAACGCUAGCGAUAGGCUUAACACAUGCAAGUCGAGGGGCAGCGAUGGUAGCAAUACCUGUCGGCGACCGGCGCACGGGUGAGUAACGCGUAUGUAACCUGCCCGCAACAGAGGGAUAACCCGGCGAAAGUCGGACUAAUACCUCAUAAAACAGGGGUUCCGCAUGGGGCUAUUUGUUAAAGAUUUAUUGGUUGCGGAUGGGCAUGCGUACCAUUAGGUAGUUGGUGAGGUAACGGCUCACCAAGCCGUCGAUGGUUAGGGGUUCUGAGAGGAAGGUCCCCCACACUGGUACUGAGACACGGACCAGACUCCUACGGGAGGCAGCAGUGAGGAAUAUUGGUCAAUGGGCGAGAGCCUGAACCAGCCAAGUCGCGUGAAGGAUGACUGCCCUAUGGGUUGUAAACUUCUUUUACAGGGGAAUAAAAUGAGAUACGUGUAUUUUAUUGCAUGUACCUUGUGAAUAAGCAUCGGCUAACUCCGUGCCAGCAGCCGCGGUAAUACGGAGAUGCGAGCGUGAUCCGGAUUUAUUGGGUUUAAAGGGUGCGUAGGUGGGCUGUUAAGUCCGCGGUGAAAGUUGUCGCUUAACGAUAAAAUUGCCGUUGAAACUGGUAGUCUUGAGUAUAGAUGAAGUAGGCGGAAUGCGUGGUGUAGCGGUGAAAUGCAUAGAGAUCACGCAGAACUCCGAUUGCGAAGGCAGCUUACUAAGGUAUGACUGACACUGAAGCACGAAAGCGUGAGUAUCAAACAGGAUUAGAUACCCUGGUAGUCCACGCAGUAAACGAUGAUUACUAGGAGUUUGCGAUAUAGUGUAAGCUCUACAGCAAAAGCGUUAAGUAAUCCACCUGGGGAGUACGCCGGCAACGGUGAAACUCAAAGGAAUUGACGGGGGCCCGCACAAGCGGAGGAACAUGUGGUUUAAUUCGAUGAUACGCGAGAACCUUACCCGGGGAUUGAAAUGUAG
This 964-nucleotide ribosomal RNA is filed under the name Tannerella forsythia. RNAcentral describes it as "bacterial SSU rRNA". It matches the Rfam family "Bacterial small subunit ribosomal RNA", at positions 28 to 991 of the family's 1533-position model. Lineage: Bacteria; Pseudomonadati; Bacteroidota; Bacteroidia; Bacteroidales; Tannerellaceae. The record is from RNAcentral.